Molecule: long non-coding RNA, 1448 nt
Organism: Magnolia sinica
Lineage: Eukaryota; Viridiplantae; Streptophyta; Magnoliopsida; Magnoliales; Magnoliaceae
Exons: 2
Source: RefSeq, a predicted model, not a curated record
GAGGAAAGGUCCAGUGAAAUGUUCCAAAUGUUGUUUCAACAUACUGUGUCAUUGUAUGAAUUUAUCUGGAUACCUUCCCAAUAUGAUAGUAUCUACUUUGAUAUGAUGUUGAAUUCCAUUCAAAUUAUCUAGGGGAGAUAAUGAAGAUACAUUUUGUAUCAGAAUCGAUUGACAACAGAAACAGUAGUUGUCGGUACUUAUCCGUACCACAAAAUGAACCGUUGUUUCAUUUCCAUGUGAUUUUUUUGUGACACUUCCCCGAUGCAAUAUGAUAUAUUAAGAUAUUUGAAACUUAGGUUCAGUGUUUUAUGCAUAUGGUGAGCUGACAGUAGCCUUUACCACUGGUUAAAGGCAUGGACCUGCUUCGUGGGCCUGGGCAUUCCUAGUCGAUGACCUCACUGUCCGAUGAUGCUCAUCUGAGAGGGAUUGCUCCACUACAUGAAAAUUUUCCAGUGGUUAUACACUGGAUCAUUCUUCUCAAGAUUAUGUCAAUUUUCCUAGGGAAUGCAGUGAAGGCUAGAAUUAAAAUAGUUGACAUUUUCAUGUCGGUUGCUUCCUGUCAUAUUCCUUUAAGAACAAAUGCUUGGUCAUUUUAACUGCCGGUGCAUGUUAGCGUGGCUAGUGGAGCAUCUCCUUGUUUUCCUUUGGCAAAACAUGCUUCAUUCAAGUUGGGCAUUGGCCUGAUACUAGUGUGUGUGUGUGUGUGUGUGUGUGUGUUAAUACUUUGGGGAUCCUAAUAACAGGAUUUCCUAAUUAGGCCAUCCGUUUUGUUUCUAGCUUUGAUGAAAGGCAGCAGAUUGGAAAUGGGUGCGUUUUUAAUGUUUACUUGCUUUCAAACAGAACAUUUUGAUAGACCAAACACCUGAUUCUUUUAAUGAUGAGUUCAAUCACUACUGCUUUCAAUCUAAUGUUUAUGUAUCCUCAUCAUGGAUGUAGAGCUGAAGGCGAGUGGUGACCUCACCAAGGAUGUAGAGCUAAGGGCGUGUUCUUAGCCAUUGGUUAGAGUGAGAGGCUACAGGGCUAUUGAUGUCUAUUGGUUGAAAUUUAAGUUUGUUCAGUUGGAAUGCUGAAGUUUAAAGAAUUAGCAGAGGCUUCUAUUAUGGUUCUCCGAUGUUGAAGAGCAUCAAAGCAUGCCUGCCUUAUCGCCGACUGGUCUCAUCUUCUGUUUUAUGGCUAUGAUUUGCUGAGGAGAAGCUACUUUUCAGUCCCAACUGAUGUACGGUUUUGCCUAUUUGGCUAUAUCAGGCUGUGGCUGCAUGGAAAGUUGUAUUGCUGUAAACAUUUGUAGCAUGGAAAAUGGACAUUCAUGUGCAUUUGUAGUCUGAAAACAUUAAAUGGACCGGUAACUAUUUAAUUUGUAUUGUGUUGAUUAGUCUUGAUGAAUGUUAAAUGGGUGAAACAUGCAUGCACAUGUUUAAUCAUUGAUUGAUUAUGAUAUUAUUAAACAA